AGAGAGAGACAUGCGCGCAUAUCAAUAAGGGAGGAAAAGAAACUAACAAGGAUUCCCCUAGUAACGGCGAGUGAAGCGGGAAGAGCUCAAAUUUGAAAUCUUAAAGGGUUUCCCUUUACGAAUUGUAGUUUAAAGAAGUGUUUUCUGUUGAGGUUUUGGUAAAAGUUCUUUGGAAUAGGACAUCAUAGAGGGUGAGAAUCCCGUAUUUGACCUUUACUUUCAACUUUGUGAUACACUUUCAAAGAGUCGGAUUGUUUGGGAAUGCAGUCCAAAGUGGGUGGUAAAUUUCAUCUAAAGCUAAAUAUUGGCGAGAGACCGAUAGCGAACAAGUACCGUGAGGGAAAGAUGAAAAGAACUUUGAAAAGAGAGUUAAACAGUACGUGAAAUUGUCAAAAGGGAAGCGUUUGACACCAGUGUUGUUUUUCUGAAAAUCAAUUAAAGAACUGUUUAUGCUAAGUCGUUUAGACUUUAUCAGCUAACUGUUUAGUUUUGAGCUUUUCUUUAAUGCACUUUUCAGUUAACAAGUCAACAUCAAUUUCUUUUGCUGUAAAAAAGCUUGAGGAAGGUGGCUUGAGAUUCGUCUUAAGUGUUUAUAGCCUCUUGCCUAUGCAGUCGGAGAGAUUGAGGUCUGCAGCGUAGAUCCUUCGGGGCUAAAUGCAUUUGUGCUAAGUUAUAGCAUUUUAUAGACAACUUGUUGACUAUGAUUUGUCUUGUAGCUUACUCGCUUAUGUUAUUUUACCUACGCUUAGGAUGUUGACGCAUGAGAUAUACGC
RNAcentral lists this ribosomal RNA (773 nucleotides) under uncultured Neocallimastigales. Its description in RNAcentral is "partial large subunit ribosomal RNA". It matches the Rfam family "Eukaryotic large subunit ribosomal RNA", at positions 23 to 647 of the family's 3401-position model. Lineage: Eukaryota; Fungi; Neocallimastigomycota; Neocallimastigomycetes; Neocallimastigales. The record is from RNAcentral.